GGCUUCAAUUUCUGGAAAAUAGCCUCAUUCAGUCCAAAAAGGAGGCAGUUGAUGGAAGAGCUAUGGAGUUCUGAAUGAGACCCACCCUAACUACUCGAGGUUGUCUUAAUAACUCUUUGUCAGCACCAAAGCAAAAAGCCUGGAGGUCAAAAUCAUGUUCUGAAGAGAGACCUUUUGCAAACUCUGGAAGAUCUACAUGUUCAAGUGCCCUUCCACAAUUCAUCCCUAGAAGCAACCUGCUGACUUCCUUGAAAAGAUGAGGCUUGAGGUUGGCACAGAGGAGCUGAUGAAGGGACUCAUACCCACAAAUUGAACCGUCUUUAGAGAUAGAAAUCUCUUCCACAUGGUUAUUUUCUUCUUGAUUUCUCUCCAUUUUAAGGUUCAGAGGCUUCUCCGAUAACAAGAUGAGAAUCUGAGCUUAUGAUGAUGGUGUCUUAUGAUUGGUGACUUAAUUGAUUUUGUCAUGGUCAUUGACUCCCUUGCAAGAUUCAUCUUCUUCUUAAUCAACACCGAUUACAACAUCUUCUACCACCAUUUUACAAUAGAUUGCCGAGAUUAGGGAAAAAAAAAUUUGCACCAAGCGAAAUAGGAAAUUGAGGACAACAAUGAAUUAAGCACGAGAACAUGAGGUGAACAAUGAGGAGAGGAAAAUAAAAGAGGAGUGGCAAAAUUAGGGUUAAUUUCAAUUGAGAAGAGAAUAAUAGAGAUGAGAUGAUUUCUUGAAAUUAUCGACAAAACGACGUCGAUAAAUGGAGAUUCUGAAAGCUGAAACGACACGUGUCAAUUCUAAACAAUGUACAACCGACACUUGUCAGUUCCUACCUGCCUGUCUGCCUUGCCUUUGUUGAACAGCAGGUGAAAGAAAAGAAUCCCGCUUUCCAGUUCUAACAAACAAAACAAACUGCACGCGCGCACACAUUUUGCUCAAGCCAAAUCAACAGAGAACCCACUAAAUUUUUCAUAAAAUUAAACAAAUUUCUUUGAUCGAAGCUGCUGAUUCUGUCAAUUUUCCUCGUUUCGUGAUAGAAAUGGCGAGAAACGAAGGAGGAGGAAGUGGAGAGUCCGCGCCUCGGUUAUCGUCGAGCUCCAGAUUAAGAACAGGGCCAGACCCCUUUUUGGUUGCGUGUAGAUGCUUCAGCUUCGUAACUGCUCUCACUGCCAUUCUCUGCAUUGCCGUUAACGUUCUUUCUGCCGUUCGGUCCUUUAGGGACGGAUCCGAUGUAUGCUUUCUUUCUUAUACGCUUUGAAAUUUCAUAGUUAUAUGUGUGCAUAGGUGAUGUAUUGAUUGUGAAUUGAUCGUUUCUUGUAGGUAUUCGAUGGGAUAUUUCGGUGUUACGCGGUGGUGAUUGCGUUUAUUGUGGUGGUUGCCGAGACGGAGUGGGGAUUUAUCACCAAGUUCUGGAAGGUGUUGGAGUAUUGGGCUGGUAGGGGUAUGCUGCAGAUCUUGUAUGUUUUAUGUUUGAGGAAGAACUGCCUUCUAUUUUUUUUCUUUACUUGUAUUGCACACACAAACAAACACAUUCUUAUUGGAGAUGAUGGAGAGAUAAAGAGAGAUUCAUGAACAAUAUUAAUUUAAUUUUAAAGGAAUUGUUACUCUAUUCAGUGUUGCAGUCAUGACAAGA
RNAcentral lists this unclassified non-coding RNA (1622 nucleotides) under Hevea brasiliensis (rubber tree). Lineage: Eukaryota; Viridiplantae; Streptophyta; Magnoliopsida; Malpighiales; Euphorbiaceae. The record is from RNAcentral.